Molecule: ribosomal RNA, 253 nt
Filed under: uncultured bacterium
Lineage: Bacteria
Description: partial 16S ribosomal RNA
Rfam family: Bacterial small subunit ribosomal RNA
Source: RNAcentral
GACAGAGGGUGCAAACGUUGUUCGGAUUUACUGGGCGUAAAGCGCGUGUAGGCGGCUUUGCAAGUCGGAUGUGAAAGCCCACGGCUCAACCGUGGAAGUGCAUCCGAAACUGCAUGGCUCGAGUCUCGGAGAGGAAGGUGGAAUGCUUGGUGUAGAGGUGAAAUUCGUAGAUAUCAAGCAGAACACCUGCGGCGAAGGCGGCCCUCUGGACGAUGACUGACGCUGAGACGCGAAAGCGUGGGGAGCAAACAGG